Molecule: long non-coding RNA, 751 nt
Filed under: Felis catus (domestic cat)
Lineage: Eukaryota; Metazoa; Chordata; Mammalia; Carnivora; Felidae
Description: lncRNA (ENSFCAG00000044645.2)
Source: RNAcentral
UGGCAGUGGACGAAACAGACAAAGUCUCUGCCUUCGAGGACCUUACGUUCUCGUGGGAGAAGGCUAACAAAAUAAAAAUUUGAAAUUAAAUUUCAGAAGUGUAAGUGCUAUGAAGAAAACCAAAGUGAGGAAGGGAAAGGAGAGGGGUGACAGUCACUACUUUAGAAAGGGUGGACAGGGAGGAACAUUCAUCCAGGUGGCCGUGAGCAGGGAUUAGACUGACUGCAGGAGUGAGACCUACAAAUACCCAGAGGAAGGGCCUUCCAGGCAGGGAACAGGGAAGGCUGCAGAGAAGGUAGACGCUGUAACCCUGCGAUGUUUUUACAGCCUCAGCAAGAGGAAUCACUACUGUGCCUGUGACAUCGUGUGCAAAGGGAGGGCUGGAGGAGAUAAUCUGAGAAGUGUCAAGAUGCCGGGGCCCAUGUCAGGCAGGCUCUGCGAGUGCCAUGAUCACAGACACAAUAACUGGAGCUCCAGCAGCCAUUUUGCUUGAGGAUGUUAAAGCAGAAAGGGUAGGAGACUUGAACAGACCAGCCCAAGACUGCCUGCUUCCAAAUUUAUUUUACUUUAGACAGAAGCGAACCCCGAUACUGUCACUUGAGGACUCUUCACUAGAGGCCAAAGGUAAUUGUCAGUGGAAUGACUUUCUAUGGGGUGAAGGGCACAGUAGUACCCCAUAGGAGCGUUUUGGAAAUUUGGGGAUAUAUUUUUUAUUGUCACAAUAAAUGGCACUACUUGUAUUUAGUAGACA